AACGAACGCUGGCGGCAUGCCUAACACAUGCAAGUCGAACGAGAUCUUCGGGUCUAGUGGCGCACGGGUGCGUAACGCGUGGGAAUCUGCCCUUUGGUUCGGAAUAACAGUUGGAAACGACUGCUAAUACCGGAUGAUGACGAAAGUCCAAAGAUUUAUCGCCAGAGGAUGAGCCCGCGUAGGAUUAGCUAGUUGGUGUGGUAAAGGCGCACCAAGGCGACGAUCCUUAGCUGGUCUGAGAGGAUGAUCAGCCACACUGGGACUGAGACACGGCCCAGACUCCUACGGGAGGCAGCAGUGGGGAAUAUCGGACAAUGGGCGAAAGCCUGAUCCAGCAAUGCCGCGUGAGUGAUAAAGGCCUUAGGGUUGUAAAGCUCUUUUACCCGGGAUGAUAAUGACAGUACCGGGAGAGUAAGCUCCGGCUAACUCCGUGCCAGCCGCCGCCGUAA
Molecule: ribosomal RNA, 449 nt
Filed under: uncultured bacterium
Lineage: Bacteria
Description: partial 16S ribosomal RNA
Rfam family: Bacterial small subunit ribosomal RNA
Source: RNAcentral